Molecule: ribosomal RNA, 725 nt
Filed under: Gambierdiscus australes
Lineage: Eukaryota; Dinophyceae; Gonyaulacales; Pyrocystaceae
Description: partial large subunit ribosomal RNA
Rfam family: Eukaryotic large subunit ribosomal RNA
Source: RNAcentral
AACUGCUGGACAAGGAGUGUUCUGUUGAGCUCAUUUUCACACGAUGAACAACUGGUUAGAACUGAUUUCGGGCAAGGGGAAUCCGACUGUUUAAUUGAAACAAAGCAUUGCGAGGGCCUCAAAGGGUGGUGCCACAAUGUGAUUUCUGCCCAGUGCUCUGAAUGUCAAAGUGAGGAAAUUCAACUAAGCGCGGGUAAACGGCGGGAGUAACUAUGACUCUCUUAAGGUAGCCAAAUGCCUCGUCAUCCAAUUAGUGACGCGCAUGAAUGGAUUAAUGAGAUUCCCACUGUCCCCAUCUACUGUCCAGCGAAACCACAGCCAAGGGAACGGGCUUGGGUAAAUCAGCGGGGAAAGAAGACCCUGUUGAGCUUGACUCUAAUCUGACUUUGUGAAAUGACUUAGGAGGUGUAGGAUAUGUGGGAGCUCUGGUGAUCUUGAAAUACCACUACUCUUAAUGUCACUUUACUUACUCUAUCAGACUGUGGCCUGCUUCCCAGCAGGUUUUUGUUUCAAGGCAUCUCAUCUGACUUGUUGACUUGCGUAGAGGACGUAGUCAGGUGGGCAGUUUGGCUGGGGCGGCACAUCUGUUAAAGGAUAACGCAGGUGUCCCAAGGUAAGCUCAAGGAGAACAGAAAUCUCAUGUGGAUCAGAAGGGGAAAUGCUUGCUUGAUUUUGCUUUUCAGUGUGAAGACAAACUGUGCAAACAUGGCCUAUCGAUCCUUUGG